GAACAGUAUUUAACGUAAAUAACUGUCAGCUUUGAUCUGGUGAUUUUCUAAACUGCUGAAUAACCAGUCUGUGAUCGUCUGUCUGUUAUACAGAAUAAAUGAUGAUUUUUGACAUCCACGUAUAUUAGCUGAAGAGCUGAACACUAAGUGUUAAGAACUCUAACAUCAAGUGUUCAAAAAUGAAACACAAAGGCAUUAAAAACUGAACACCACAUAUUCAAUUGAUGAACACUAAGUGUUAAAUAACUCUAACAUCAAGUGUUCAAAAGUGAAACACAAAGGCAUUAAAAACUGAACACCACACAUUCAAUUGAUGAACACUAGUGUAAACAUAAGGAACACCAUUUUUGACUUAGAAAAUUCACUUUUUUUUUAUUUUGCAGGAAUCGUUAGAUUGGAAUGUUUGAAUUAGAAACCGGUAGCAAAUAAGCCCACGAAGGUCAUUUCUGCAUGCUAUAAUGUGUUGGAAAAAAGAAAGAUGUCAAAAAGGUAUGACAAUAUAUGUAUAUUAAUAGCUUAUGUAGGUGUAUCUUUUCUAUAUCUGUAUACCUUAGGUCAAGAAAUCGACUUAUGUAAUUUAUAAUGUCAAAACUUGCAUUUCACUGCCAUAGAAUAUCAAUUUGUACUCUAGUAUAUAUCGAAAAUCCAAUUAAAGCCUAACAACUAUUGCAUAAUUUGAUGCUUUAAGAAAAACUCUCUUCUAUUAAUUUUAAAUUUUAUUUUGCAGGAUAUAUAGGCGCAUAGACAUUACUUGUUGUGGAGGAUUUUGACAUUAGAAGUUGAUAAUAACACAUAAAAUGCCAAGUUGAACCAGUUGAUAGCUUUUAGUGAAGAUGCACUGAAAAGUUGAGCGUACAUUGUGUGUGAUCGUACUAGAACUGUUGGAAUUUGAAAACUUUUAAACUUUCAUUGUGACAAAUAUCUAUAUCAUAAACUAUCUACUUAUCACAUUGACAUGCUUUUUUGGUUAGGAUACACAUGAUGUAGCAACUAUAUCUUGUCAUGUAGAAGAAAAUAAUUAUUUGUGAUAUAUUUAAGUCGGUUUAAAAACAUUAUGUAUGUGAUUUCACUGACUGUUACUUGUGA
RNAcentral lists this long non-coding RNA (1086 nucleotides) under Mytilus galloprovincialis (Mediterranean mussel). The record is from RNAcentral. Lineage: Eukaryota; Metazoa; Mollusca; Bivalvia; Mytilida; Mytilidae.